Molecule: non-coding RNA, 357 nt
Organism: Pelodiscus sinensis (Chinese soft-shelled turtle)
Lineage: Eukaryota; Metazoa; Chordata; Testudines; Trionychidae
Source: the annotation of a RefSeq genome assembly
CCUGUCAAGAUGCUCUCCCAAGUGCAGCUUCUCUGGAUACUAGUGCUUUGGAUUCAGGACUCCUAUGGCCAGAUUGUGCUGACCCAGACUCCAGAAUCCCUGGCAGCGUCUCCUGGAGACAGAGUCACCAUCAACUGCAAAGCCAGUACCGGCAUUAGCAACUACUUAGGCUGGUACCAACAGAAACCAGGACAAGCACCUAAGCUGCUUAUCUACGAUUCUACUAACCGUCCCUCCGGGAUCCCAGCCCGGUUCAGUGGCAGUGGGUCUGGAACUGAUUUCACUCUCACAAUCAACAGCUUAGAAACUGAAGAUGCUGGAGAUUAUUACUGCCAGCAACGCCAGAGCUUGCCGUAG